Silurus meridionalis is the source of this 687-nucleotide long non-coding RNA. RefSeq lists it as uncharacterized. Lineage: Eukaryota; Metazoa; Chordata; Actinopteri; Siluriformes; Siluridae. The record is from RefSeq and is a predicted model, not a curated record. The transcript has 3 exons.
UGUGUGUCUGCAGCUCAACUAAUUUUCAGCUUCAUUAACUGAUCACAAAAAAACUGAAAACUGAUCCUUCCAUCAAUGCUCCUGUCACUAACUGUGAAGUGACCUUUGCUCCUAAGACUGUUGAGUGUUUUAUGCAAGAUCUCCAGCACUCACUGGGCGAUUCUUUAGAUGAUGAGGCAUCACCUCUUGGAACCUAAAGAGAUCCUCUUCUUUUUUCCUCGAACUGAAGCACACAACAAAGAUUCAGAAUCUCAUUUCAGAGAGGUGGAGGACAGAGAGACCCCGUCUGGUGAACACGGUUGCGAUACAAGAAAAUGUGGAAUUUGAAUAAUGCUUAAAAAUUAUACAAAGUCAUGUAAAAAUGUUUAUAAAAUCCAAACCCUGAUUAUUCACAUAAGGUUUACAUUAAAAUGGAAAUGUUUUUGGACUAUAUGAUCUAAGCAUGCGACUACUUGCCUUCCACCCCUUUAUUUGCCACAAUUUAUGCCACGGAUGUCUUUUUUUCAUUUGAAGAAAUGAAGAUGGCAGUACUGGGACUGUCCUGCCAAGCAUUUUUAAGAAUGCUGUAUCAGUGAACUGUCUGCUUUGGUAGUGUAAUUAUUUAAUUUAUUUAUCUUAUAGUAUUGUUAAUCUCUUUGUAUUGUGGGUUGAAAAGCUGUUUGAUGCUAAUGUAUUUGUUUAACAUUA